This 285-nucleotide long non-coding RNA is filed under the name Sinocyclocheilus grahami. RNAcentral's name for it is "lncRNA (ENSSGRG00000019359.1)". Lineage: Eukaryota; Metazoa; Chordata; Actinopteri; Cypriniformes; Cyprinidae. The record is from RNAcentral.
UGCUUCUGAUCUUCAGUGUGAUUCUGUUGGUGAUCGUCUCUCUCUGGAGGAGGCGUCAGUCUCACGACGCUCAUCCCUCAUCCAGAAGAUCUCACAGGACUCCAGCAAACACUGACGCGGCUUCUAAUUAUCAUUGUGAUUACGAGGAGACUGAAGACAAUCGUAGACAAUUACCCACAAACCCCUCUGAUUCUACUAAUGCAAUCUAUGCUAAUCCAGAAUUACCCAUAAACCCCUCUGAUUCUACUAAUGCAAUCUAUGCUAAUCCAGAAUUACCCAUAAACC